UCAUUCUCCGUUUCCGACCGACCUGUUCGUCUCCGAUCGCCACCGUCUUCCUCCACUCCGAUCGACCUUGUUGUCUUCCAAGUCCGAUUGUCCUGUUUCCUCCAUUUCCGGUCGAUAUUGCCUUCCUCAAUCUCCAAUUGAAAUCGCGAGUCCCCUCAAUCUCCAAUCGAUCCCUCAUCUACUCUUUGUGUUUGAUGGAUCUAUGUUCUUUCAUCCUCCUUCUCCCCCUAGUCUUCGAUUAUUGAGCGAUCUCUUAUUUCAGUCCCAAUUCCAAACCCUAGAACAUAGCUUCAUCUUCUUCUUGUUUACUUCAGCGUGGAUAGACUGAUAAGAAUUUUGUUCUUAACAGAGGUUUCAAUUGUGAAAACGGUGGAAAUUGCAAUAGUGUUUUACGUGACAUAAAAAGCUGAAUAAGAUACAAGUUGAAACAAAUAGUUUCAAAUUUUUAUUGAAAACAAAACUUAGUUUUCAGGAUCCAAGUGUAUGUUUGGAUUUACGAUGAGAUUAGUAGAAUUAGAGUGUGCUUCGGAGACUUUUUACAAAAGCUAUACACUUCAGAUCUUCAACAAAAUUAGUGUUAUUAUGGGUACUUUUGCUAACGCUUUUCUUGCCGACCUCGAUGAACUCUCUCAAUAACGAGGCUGAAAUUCCAGUGAGUUUUUAAUUUUGAAUUUUGAAGAAAUUUAUUUUGCAUACAUGAUUAAAUUGAUGAACAAUGUGGGUGGGUUUAUCUAAGGCAGAUAAUGACGUGGAUGCGGCAGACAUGGAUGAAGAUGUUGAUGGUGAUCUAGAUGAUUUGGAAAAACUUAACAAUAAUGACUUGGAUAGUGUUUAUAAAUUGCAGAAAAGCCAGAGAUACAUUGAUAUUAUACAGAACGACACCGUAUGGAGAGUCCAUUAAAAGUGAACCGAGACGGUGAAAGGAUCUGCAGGGUUAUAGAGACGGUCUACAUCCGAGUCAAUUUCGAUUCUCUCUUUUACCCUUCCACACACUUGUUACUCCUAAUACUCGCCACCACUCUUCUUCUCUAUCCUUCAUCCCUAAAUCUCCAACCAUGUCACUUAAGGCUGCUUCUAGUUCUAUACCAAGUGCAGAGAAAAGUAGUAGCUCUGAUGUUGAGGAGGUCGUCAAAUCUGAGACAUACAACAAUAACAUGACAGAAGCCAUGGGUGCUGGCAUGAAUUAGGAAUGAACUACAACUUCAUUCUACCAGACUUGAUUGUCGGGUCAUGCUUGCAGCCCGACUCCUGAAGAUGUUGAUAAGCUGCGUAAAAUCGGAGUGAAAACUAUAUUUUGAUUACAGCAAGACCCAGACCUAGAGUAUACUGAAUAUAUUUGUUUUAUAUGGUUCAUUUUCAGCAUUUGUGACGUGGUACACUGAUUUAAUCUAAAAAAUGUCAUGGUCUUCAAUUAUUAGUAAUUGUAAAUAAAAACCAAAAUUUUCUCGGUUGAUAUGUGUAACUUAAAUAUAAUAAAAGUAAUUGCAAUUUAUAAAAUUGUUUUUUUCUA
Molecule: long non-coding RNA, 1510 nt
Organism: Vicia villosa (hairy vetch)
Lineage: Eukaryota; Viridiplantae; Streptophyta; Magnoliopsida; Fabales; Fabaceae
Exons: 8
Source: RefSeq, a predicted model, not a curated record